CCUACGGGAGGCAGCAGUGAGGAAUAUUGGUCAAUGGCCGAGAGGCUGAACCAGCCAAGUCGCGUGAGGGAAGAAGGCUCUGCGGAUUGUAAACCUCUUUUGUCGGGGAGCAAAGCGUACCACGUGUGGCCUAUUGAGAGUACCCGAAGAAAAAGCAUCGGCUAACUCCGUUCCAUCAGCCGCGGUAAUACGGAGGAUGCGAGCGUUAUCCGGAUUUAUUGGGUUUAAAGGGUGCGCAGGCGGUGGUGUAAGUCAGCGGUCAAAGUGCGGGGCUAAACCCCGGACUGCCGUUGAAACUGCAUGCCUUGAGUGCGCGAGAAGUAUGCGGAAUGCGUGGUGGAGCGGUGAAAUGCAUAGAUAUCACGCAGAACUCCGAUUGCGAAGGCAGCAUACCGGCGCGCAACUGACGCUCAUGCACGAAAGCGUGGGUAUCGAACAGGAUUAGAUACCCGUGUAGUC
RNAcentral lists this ribosomal RNA (459 nucleotides) under uncultured bacterium. RNAcentral's name for it is "partial 16S ribosomal RNA". It matches the Rfam family "Bacterial small subunit ribosomal RNA", at positions 338 to 795 of the family's 1533-position model. The record is from RNAcentral.